UACGUAGGUGGCGAGCGUUGUCCGGAUUUACUGGGCGUAAAGAGCGCGUAGGCGGCCGAUCAAGUCGGGGGUGAAAGCCUGUGGCUCAACCACAGAAUUGCCUUCGAUACUGUUUGGCUUGAGACCGGAAGAGGUUAGUGGAACUGCGAGUGUAGAGGUGAAAUUCGUAGAUAUUCGCAAGAACACCAGUGGCGAAGGCGGCUGACUGGUCCGGUUCUGACGCUGAGGCGCGAAAGCGUGGGGAGCAAACAGG
RNAcentral lists this ribosomal RNA (253 nucleotides) under uncultured bacterium. Its description in RNAcentral is "partial 16S ribosomal RNA". It matches the Rfam family "Bacterial small subunit ribosomal RNA", at positions 524 to 776 of the family's 1533-position model. The record is from RNAcentral.